AAAAAUUUUGGUCCUGGACUUUCUGUUAUUUAUCCUGAGCUUAUACAUGCAAGCCUCCGCACCCCAGUGAAACACAAGGUAUCAGGGACUACCCAAAAACGCCAAGCCCCGCCACAUCCACACGGACUAGCAGCAGUAAUCAACAUUAGGCAAUGAGCUACACGCUCGACCAAGCUACAGGAACAAGGGCCGGCAAAUUUAUGUGCCAGCCGCCGCGGUCAUACUGAAGGCCCAAGAUAACUAACCCGGCAAAAAAUGACUAGAAUUCACCACCCUCCAAAUUAAGACCAAACUGUGCACUAAUACGUGAAACAAUAAUUACAAGAAAACCAAAAAUCUUAAUAACCGGAUAUUCAACUCAUAAAAUAUAGGAAACAAACUAGGAUUAGAUACCCUACUAUGCCUAUUAUAAAUUUUGUUCGCCAAAAAAGUAUAGGCAUAAAGCCAAAAACUUAAAGGACCUGGCGGUACUCUACAUCAACCUAGAGGGGCCUGUCUAAUAAUCGACAACCCGCGAAAAACCUGACCCCUUCUAGCCCAACUCAGCCUAUAUACCGCCGUCGAAAGCACAUUUUACAAAAAAUGUAGCAAAAUUAUCUUUCACAAGCACGUCAGGUCAAGGUGUAGCACAUGAAGGGGGUAAGAUUGGCCACAUUAAAACGCACAUACAUGAAAAACAAAAUAAGAAUUUAGUAGUAAGAUGCCAUGAACGACCAUCUGAAACCAUCGCUCUUGAGUACGCACACACCGCCCGUCAUCCCCUCUAAUACAUAUGAGGGGCAAGUCGUAACAUGGUAAGUGCACCAGAAGGUGUACUUAGAAGACA
This 826-nucleotide non-coding RNA is filed under the name Calotes mystaceus. The record is from RNAcentral. Lineage: Eukaryota; Metazoa; Chordata; Lepidosauria; Squamata; Agamidae.